RNAcentral lists this ribosomal RNA (253 nucleotides) under uncultured bacterium. RNAcentral's name for it is "partial 16S ribosomal RNA". It matches the Rfam family "Bacterial small subunit ribosomal RNA", at positions 524 to 776 of the family's 1533-position model. The record is from RNAcentral.
UACGGAGGGGGCUAGCGUUGUUCGGAAUUACUGGGCGUAAAGCGCGCGUAGGCGGCUUUGUAAGUUAGAGGUGAAAGCCCGGAGCUCAACUCCGGAAUUGCCUUUAAGACUGCAUCGCUAGAAUCAUGGAGAGGUCAGUGGAAUUCCGAGUGUAGAGGUGAAAUUCGUAGAUAUUCGCAAGAACACCAGUGGCGAAGGCGGCUCACUGGCCCGGUACUGACGCUGAGGUGCGAAAGCGUGGGGAGCAAACAGG